RNAcentral lists this ribosomal RNA (650 nucleotides) under uncultured bacterium. RNAcentral's name for it is "bacterial SSU rRNA". It matches the Rfam family "Bacterial small subunit ribosomal RNA", at positions 10 to 667 of the family's 1533-position model. The record is from RNAcentral.
AGUUUGAUCCUGGCUCAAGAUAAACGCUGGCGGCGCACAUAAGACAUGCAAGUCGAACGAACUUAAUUCAUUCUUUUAGAUUGGAAGCGGUUAGUGGCGGACUGGUGAGUAACGCGUGAGCAACCUGCCUUUCAGAGGGGGAUAACGUUUGGAAACGAACGCUAAUACCGCAUAAGACCACACUUCCACAUGGGAGAGGGGUCAAAGGAGCAAUCCGCUGAAAGAUGGGCUCGCGUCCGAUUAGAUAGUUGGUGGGGUAACGGCCUACCAAGUCUACGAUCAGUAGCCGGACUGAGAGGUUGAACGGCCACAUUGGGACUGAGAUACGGCCCAGACUCCUACGGGAGGCAGCAGUCGGGAAUAUUGCGCAAUGGAGGAAACUCUGACGCAGUGACGCCGCGUAUAGGACGAAGGUCUUCGGAUUGUAAACUAUUGUCGUUAGGGAAGAGAAAGGACAGUACCUAAGGAGGAAGCUCCGGCUAACUACGUGCCAGCAGCCGCGGUAAUACGUAGGGAGCAAGCGUUAUCCGGAUUUAUUGGGUGUAAAGGGUGCGUAGACGGGAAAUUAAGUUAGUUGUGAAAUCCCUCGGCUCAACUGANGAACUGCAACUAAAACUGGUUUUCUUGAGUGUUGGAGAGGAAAGCGGAAU